ACACUUGACCUCAAAUCAGGCGGGACUACCCGCUGAACUUAAGCAUAUCAAUAAGCGGAGGAAAAAGAAACUAACAAGGAUUCCCCUAGUAACUGCGAGUGAAGCGGGAAGAGCUCAAAUUUAAAAUCUGGCGGCUUCGUCGUCCGAGUUGUAAUUUAGAGAAGUGUUUUCCGCGCUGGACCGUGUACAAGUCUCCUGGAACGGAGCGUCAUAGAGGGUGAGAAUCCCGUCUUUGACACGGACCCCCAGUGCUCUGUGAUACGCUCUCGAAGAGUCGAGUUGUUUGGGAAUGCAGCUCAAAAUGGGUGGUGAACUCCAUCUAAAGCUAAAUAUUGGCGAGAGACCGAUAGCGAACAAGUACCGUGAGGGAAAGAUGAAAAGCACUUUGGAAAGAGAGUGAAACAGUACGUGAAAUUGCUGAAAGGGAAACGCUUGAAGUCAGUCGCGUCCGCCGGAAUUCAGCCCUCGUGGUGUACUUUCCGACGGACGGGCCAGCAUCACUUUUGACCGCCGGAAAAGGGCGGAGGGAAUGUGGCACCUCCGGGUGUGUUAUAGCCCUCCGUCGUAUACGGUGAUUGGGAGUGAGGACCGCCU
RNAcentral lists this ribosomal RNA (594 nucleotides) under Dichostereum orientale. RNAcentral's name for it is "eukaryotic LSU rRNA". It matches the Rfam family "Eukaryotic large subunit ribosomal RNA", at positions 1 to 598 of the family's 3401-position model. Lineage: Eukaryota; Fungi; Basidiomycota; Agaricomycetes; Russulales; Lachnocladiaceae. The record is from RNAcentral.